Poeciliopsis prolifica (blackstripe livebearer) is the source of this 3160-nucleotide RNA transcript. It is a transcript of the gene named HAUS augmin-like complex subunit 1, with no coding region annotated. The record is from RefSeq and is a predicted model, not a curated record. The transcript is spliced from 2 exons. NCBI's taxonomy places the organism in Eukaryota, Metazoa, Chordata, Actinopteri, Cyprinodontiformes, Poeciliidae.
UGGAGUUAUCCAAUAUUAAAUAGAAACAGUAUAAUAGCAAUAAAUGACAGGGAAAAAGCUGAUAUUUUAGUAAGCACAUUUAUGGAGAUUCAUAGUGGGAAAAAAUGAUCAGAUAAAGAAAUAAAGGGGAGAGAGAAAACUAAAAGAGAAAAUGGUGGAAUUUUAAGAAGAAAGGAAAUUAUUAAGGAUGAAUUGAUGAACGAACAUUUCUCUAUUGGAGAAUUGAAAAGAGCUUUGGGUAGAACAAGAAAUAGUGCUCCAGGUAAAGAUGAAGUAUGCUAUAUUAUGCUAAGACAUGUGAGUGAUGAUGUUUUGAAGAAGAUAUUAAAUUUGUAUAAUAAGAUUUGGAAAGAGGGAAGAAUACCUAGUGAAUGGAAAGAAGCGGUUGUUAUUCCGAUAAAGAAACCUGGGAAAGAUCAUAGUAAUCCUGAAAACUAUAGGCCGAUUGCUUUAACAUCUAAUAUAUGUAAGCUGAUGGAAAGGAUGGUGAAUGAGAGGUUAGUACAGUAUUUGGAAUCAAGGAAUAUAAUUGCUCCGUAUCAGAGUGGCUUUCGUAGAGGGAGAGGAACAAUGGAUCCAGUAUUGUGUUUAGAAGAUGAUAUUAGAAAAGCUCAAAUUAAUAAGGAAACUGCUGUGGCUGUAUUUUUUGAUGUGGAAAAAGCAUAUGACAUGUUAUGGAGAGAAGGAUUAAUGAUUAAACUACACCAGAUAGGAAUAGGAGGGAGUAUGUUUAACUGGAUAUGGGAUUUUUUAUGUGAUAGAAAUAUCCAAGUUAAAAUAGGUUCUCAUGUUUCAAAAUCGUGUCAAAUAGAAAAUGGAACUCCUCAAGGAAGUGUGAUAAGUCCAACAUUAUUCUCGGUGAUGAUAAAUGAUAUUUUUAAUGAAAUACCAGUUAGUUUUGGGAAAUCACUAUUUGCUGAUGAUGGAGCAUUAUGGAAAAGGGGAAGAAAUAUAGAACAUCUUAUUUUAAAACUUCAGGAAGGUAUAGAUAUAGUAGGUAAGUGGGGAAUUGAGUGGGGUUUUAAAUUUUCAAUUGAGAAGACAAAAGUAAUGUUCUUUACAAAUAAGAAAGUUAGAAUUGAUAAAAAAUUAUAUUUAUAUGGAAAAGAAUUAGAAACGGUUGAUAGUUUUCGUUUUUUGGGAGUAGUCUUUGAUAAGAAACUAACUUGGGAAAAUCAUAUAGAUCACAUUAUGGAAAAAAGUAAAAAGGUUCUUAACAUUAUGAGGUGCUUGACAGGAUUGACAUGGGGUACAAACUAUGAAUCACUUAAAAAUAUUUAUGUGUCAUUAAUUCGAUCUAGAAUAGAUUAUGGGAGUGUGGUGUAUGGAUCAGCAAGCAAAACUAGGUUAAACAAAUUGGAUAUUAUUCAAGCAAGAGCUUUGAGAAUUUGCUUAGGGGCAGUUAAAUCUACUCCAGUAUGUGCAUUACAAGUAGAGUCAGGAGAGAUGCCAUUAUGUAUUAGAAGACAGCAGAUCAUGGUAAAUUAUUGGAUAAGUUUAAAAGGACAAAAUGAAGAUCACCCAGUUAAGAAAGUGUUGCAACAUUGUUGGGAGAGAGGAAAAGGGAAAAGUAAUAGUUUUGGGUGGGUGGGAGAUGAUAGAGCAAAAACAUUUAAUGUAUUUGACAAAGAAUUCAGUCAAACAGUAGUAUGGCCUGUGAGACCAGCAUGGUCAUGGAAAUAUAUUAAUGUAGACAAGACACUAUUAGAUAUUCAGGGGAAAAAGAUGAUAGAUAUGUGCCAAGAGUUUUAUCAUCAAAUACAAAAUAAAUAUAAUGAUUAUGUACAGAUUUAUACUGAUGUUUCAAAAGAUCCUAAAAACAAAGUAACAAGUGCAGCAGUAGUGAUUCUAGAUUUAUAUACAAAGAUUUCAAAAAGAACAUCUGAUUACUUGAGUAUCUAUGCAGUAGAAAUGUGUGCUAUAUUAUUAGCUUUAGAAUGGGUGGAGGAUAGUAAAGAAAAUACAUUUAUAAUUUGUAGUGAUUCACUAUCUGCUUUGAUGAGUAUUGAAAAGGGAUGUUCAAGUAAUCAUCAAAAUAUAUUAUAUGAAGUUAUGGCUGUUCAUCAUAGAAUAUGUGAUCAAAAUAAAAAGGUAAUAUUAUUUUGGACUCCUGCUCAUGUAGGUAUUUUAGGUAAUGAAAGAGCAGAUAGGUUGGCUAAGGAGGCUAGUAAAAAAGAAAAAAUUGAUAUGUUAGUAAAGCUAUCGAAAUCAGAGGGGAAAAGUAUAGCUUGGAGAGAAAGUAAAAAGAUAUGGAAAAUUAGGUGGGAUAAUGAAAUAAAUGGAAGGCAUUUACACAGAUUUCAAAAUACAGUUGAUGUAGAAAGGGUUAGAGGGUUAAAUAGAAAGGUAGAGGUAAUUAUAACUCGAAUAAGAACCGGGCAUAGUUUAUUAAAUGGAACUCUUUAUAAGAUGGGGAAACAUCCUACUGGUUUAUGUAUUUGGUGUGAUUCUGUAGAAACAAUGGAACAUGUUUUUAUUUGUUGUAGAAAAUAUGAAAAUGAAAGAAAAUUAUUAAUAUUGGAAUUAGGCUGUACCAGGGAAUUGAAGUUUGAAAAAGUGGUUGAUCAGUUAAAUAGUAAUGAGGGGAGGAAGAAAAUUUUGUGGUUUUUUAAAAAACAGUGGGAUUAUUUCGAGAAUUUGUUAGAUAAUUAGGAUCCAAUAGAUGGCAGUAGUGCAACAAAAAUGGAUGCAAGCUGCCGUUAAAUCCUAAAGAAGAAGAUGAAGUUAAUUGGAGGGGCUAUAAAACACACGGCGUUUUACGUUUCUGUAGUGACUGUCUAUGUUUUUCAUGCCUUCUCUGUGAUCAUGUGUGAAAAGCUGAGGAAGGUGAACAGCUGGUUGGAGGGAGUGUUUGGGGAUCAGCCAGUGCCAUCAUUUGAGGUGAACACCAGGACUGUGGACAUACUGUAUCAGCUGGCUCAGUCCAGUGAAGCCCGCUGCAGUGAUACUGCUCUCCUCAUUGAAGACUACAAGCAGAAAACAUCAGAGUAUCAGGCUGACGGUGAGGCACAUACAGCAGGCAGAACAGAUGAUGCAUUAAAACACUUGGAUCGGAAAGGCUGAAUUGAUCUAAAGUGUUUAGAUUUGCCGAAUGGCAUGUUUUGCACAUGUCGAAACUAAUAGAAACUGAAGUAAAUAUUUUUUUAUGGCUUAAGAUAUA